Molecule: transfer RNA, 61 nt
Filed under: Deschampsia cespitosa (tufted hair grass)
Lineage: Eukaryota; Viridiplantae; Streptophyta; Magnoliopsida; Poales; Poaceae
Description: partial tRNA-Leu
Source: RNAcentral
GCUACGGACUUAAAAUCCGUCGACUUUAUAAGUCGUGAGGGUUCAAGNNNCUCUAUCCCCA